AUGCCGUUCCAGUUUGCAAUUUAUUACUUAUAUGAUAAGUCAUUAAAAGUGGAGAGUACAUCGAUCCUUGUAGCUAAUAUAGACCAGCAUAGUCAAGUUACGUCAAAACCAGACCUUGAUGGAGACGACAAUUGGCUAGAAAUAAAGUGGCCUUCACGUAAAGAACCAGAGAAGACGGUGCCUGCAAAAGUCCUGCUGUUUGGAGAUUCGUUCAAAGACCUCGUCAUGAAGAAAAACUUACUACUUUUGGGAAAGGACAUAUGGAAAAAGGAUGAAAGCAGGGGUGUUCGUGUCAAAAAGAAAAUAUUGGACACCAGCAACGAGGUGGAGGCUAAAAAAGCCAGGCUGGAAAAGCUAGUAAACACUAAGAAGGCUGCCAGACCCCUGGCAUUCACUUCCGAUCAUCAUAUCAGUUCUGAAGAUGCUACAAACAUAGCGAGCCCACUCCGUCCAGAUCAUCACACCAGUUCUGAUGAUGCUACAACCAUAGGGAGUCCUGAAAUGGCCAAUGACUCAGAUGAAGACUUUGGUCUAACCUCAACCCAGAGAAAGGCAAGCUGA
Cyprinus carpio (common carp) is the source of this 561-nucleotide long non-coding RNA. NCBI's taxonomy places the organism in Eukaryota, Metazoa, Chordata, Actinopteri, Cypriniformes, Cyprinidae. The record is from Ensembl.